Homo sapiens (human) is the source of this 3153-nucleotide RNA transcript. It is a transcript of the gene named transcription elongation factor A1, with no coding region annotated. The record is from RefSeq and is marked validated. The transcript has 12 exons. NCBI's taxonomy places the organism in Eukaryota, Metazoa, Chordata, Mammalia, Primates, Hominidae.
AGCCGGAAGCCACGCCUGCCCACUAGCCCGACGCCCGCCUGGCGGGAACAUGGGCUCGCCCCUCACCAGCGAUCUGCAGUCAGUUGGUAGCGCCUGCACGUCGCGCGCGGUGUUCGAUUGUCGCUGCCUGGGGAGGAGGAGCCGGAGCCGCCGCCGCCGCCGCCGCCGCCGCGGGCUUCGUUCGUAAGGAAGGGGGCCUAGGCCCGGGCCUGCGGUGGUGGGGGUUGCUGCGCGCCGGGGGUCGCUCCUGCUGUGUCUUCCGCUCCAGCUUCGCCCACUUCCCCUUGCCAGCGGGGUGGGCGCGGAGAAGACCUGCCGGAGCCAUGGAGGACGAAGUGGUCCGCUUUGCCAAGAAGAUGGACAAGAUGGUGCAGAAGAAGAACGCGGCUGGAGCAUUGGAUUUGCUAAAGGAGCUUAAGAAUAUUCCUAUGACCCUGGAAUUACUGCAGAUUUAGUGGCUACCUUGAGAUCAUCUUGGCAAAAACUCAUGAGUGAUCACAAAGGAGACUUUUCUUCUGGAGCACACCAAAUCUGCUUGUUUCCUGUGAUGUUAACAGUGUCUCUUGAUCUCAGUACUCAUUCCUUUCUGCUUUUCCAUCAGUGUGCAGCUGACCCCUAAGGCUGCUUAAUGCACUCUCCACCUUUCCAAGUCCACAAGAAUCGGAAUGUCAGUUAAUGCUAUUCGCAAGCAGAGUACAGAUGAGGAAGUUACAUCUUUGGCAAAGUCUCUCAUCAAAUCCUGGAAAAAAUUAUUAGAUGGGCCAUCAACUGAGAAAGACCUUGACGAAAAGAAGAAAGAACCUGCAAUUACAUCGCAGAACAGCCCUGAGGCAAGAGAAGAAAGUACUUCCAGCGGCAAUGUAAGCAACAGAAAGGAUGAGACAAAUGCUCGAGAUACUUAUGUUUCAUCCUUUCCUCGGGCACCAAGCACUUCUGAUUCUGUGCGGUUGAAGUGUAGGGAGAUGCUUGCUGCAGCUCUUCGAACAGGGGAUGACUACAUUGCAAUUGGAGCUGAUGAGGAAGAAUUAGGAUCUCAAAUUGAAGAAGCUAUAUAUCAAGAAAUAAGGAAUACAGACAUGAAAUACAAAAAUAGAGUACGAAGUAGGAUAUCAAAUCUUAAAGAUGCAAAAAAUCCAAAUUUAAGGAAAAAUGUCCUCUGUGGGAAUAUUCCUCCUGACUUAUUUGCUAGAAUGACAGCAGAGGAAAUGGCUAGUGAUGAGCUGAAAGAGAUGCGGAAAAACUUGACCAAAGAAGCCAUCAGAGAGCAUCAGAUGGCCAAGACUGGUGGGACCCAGACUGACUUGUUCACAUGUGGCAAAUGUAAAAAGAAGAAUUGCACUUACACACAGUGUCUUGCACUGUACUCACCCCUGUUCAUUUGAUGAGAUGAGGCGAAGUGAAUGAUGUAGGCAUUGUGACUAAGUGUUAGGCUGCUGUUGACCUUCUGAUGAUCCAUCAGAAGGAGGCUCAUCUGCUUCAGGUGGUCCUGCCUCAUCGAGCCCUGAUGAUGUGGAUGACUAAUGGGUACAAACCCGUAGUGCUGAUGAACCAAUGACAACAUUUGUUGUCUGUAAUGAAUGUGGAAAUCGAUGGAAGUUCUGUUGAGUUGGAAGAAUUGGCAAAAUAUCUGGACCAUUAAGAAAACGGAUUUUGUAACUAGCUUUAAACUAGGCCAAGCAACUAGUUUUCCUGCAAAUCAAAUUUUUAAAGCAACUUGGGUUAGACUUUGUUUUUGACCUAACAUCCCUUCCUUAAAUGCCUUCUGUAGUUUCAGAUCAGUAGGGAGACCAUAUAAUAAUUUUAUGGUACCUGUUUCAAAACAUAUUUUUUCUGUUUUUAUAAGUAAGUUGAUAUUAAUUAAACUCUUGGCAAUAUUUCUUCUUUCUUAAAGGAAAAUAUACCUUAACUUUUUUUCUUUUACACUGUGAAACAUACACAGUAGAAAUUCUGUUACUCUCUGUUAUUAAUACAUAAAUGAAAAUACAUUUUUUUCCAUAUUGGCAUGUAGCUACAAAUAUUAAAGGAGGAGAAAAGGUAAUAUAAUUUUAGGUUUACCAAAUAUGGUGUGUAUUCAAAUAAUACUUGACCAGCUUAUCUAAAAUGUACAUAAUUUUGAGGUAGCUUAUGAAUUUGAUUUUAAUUAUUAUGUUCACAAGCUUGGAAUAUUAGAUAUUAUUUUGCAUCUGUAACUAACCGUGAUCAUCAUUUCUUGUAAUUUCUUGUACAUGUAUAUUACUUGUUCUUAAUAGAUUUUUGGAAACAAGACUUUAUUGAGAUCAGUUUGGUUUUCCUGUUAAUUUACCUGUUUGACUUUAUAAUGUGUUUUAGUUUUGCAGAAGAACACUGUUGUAGUUUAGAAGGCUUUUCAUAAAUCCCCUCAUAGGCAAAGAUGAAAACUUCCCACUAUUUUUUUCCCCUCUUAGGAAGACAUACUGGAAAGAAAAUGUUUAGCAUCUUAGUGUAGUAUAGCUAUUGUAAACAGUUCAUGACUAGAUUUUGAUUCGGAAAUCUAUACUGACCAAGGAUUAAUCUUAAGGAUUGUAUAAUUCAUUAAAGCUGUGGUCUUUCCAUGUGGAGACUGAUAGAAAAUAAUUUUGUCCCAAGUCUUAUUUGCUGACUUUUUCUGUCAUGAGUGAGAUUGUUGAACAAACUGAAUAUAUGGGCUAUAGCAAGUAGCUUUACAGUACAGAUCUUACAAUUAAGUUUUGCUUUUGUUAAAGUGUGUACCAUUUUUUCUGUUUGGAGUAAGACAAAAAUUGUUUUGACAUAGGUUCCCUAGGGUACACUUGCUCUAGCAUACUUUAAAGGCCACUGUUGCAAAGUCUACAUUUUAUGCUGAAUCUGCAUUCUGUCAGGCACCCGUAGAAAGACCUCAGUACAUGCUUUGCACUCUCCUUUGCUCCCUUUUUCCAAUUUCUUAUUGCAUAUCAUUUUGUUGUAAUACAGAAAGCAGCAUUUUUAAAUGUCCGUGUUAAGAAUUGGCCCACUGGUACCAACUCACCUCUAUUUUGUCAGUUCAUAGUUGAAGAUUUUGUUUUAUUUCAAAAACAAAGUACAUUUUUGAAAUAAUGUUUCAGAAUAAAAUAAUCUCACUUUUAAGUGAUCCAUUUUAAAAUUUGUAAUUCAAUAAAGUUUUUUUUGUUGUUAAACAUA